CCAAAAGCUCUUUUCAGAGCCACUGCACUUGACUUGAAAAAUCUGU
Molecule: non-coding RNA, 46 nt
Organism: Pongo abelii (Sumatran orangutan)
Lineage: Eukaryota; Metazoa; Chordata; Mammalia; Primates; Hominidae
Source: Rfam